RNAcentral lists this ribosomal RNA (507 nucleotides) under uncultured Desulfobulbus sp. RNAcentral describes it as "bacterial SSU rRNA". It matches the Rfam family "Bacterial small subunit ribosomal RNA", at positions 880 to 1382 of the family's 1533-position model. The record is from RNAcentral. Lineage: Bacteria; Pseudomonadati; Thermodesulfobacteriota; Desulfobulbia; Desulfobulbales; Desulfobulbaceae.
UUGCCAGCCCGCUCAGAAACUCAAAUGAAUUGACGGGGGCCCGCACAAGCGGUGGAGUAUGUGGUUUAAUUCGAUGCAACGCGAAGAACCUUACCUGGUCUUGACAUCCCGGAGACCCUUAGGAAACUAGGGGGUGCUUCCAUCUGGAAGAAUCUGGAGACAGGUGCUGCAUGGCUGUCGUCAGCUCGUGUCGUGAGAUGUUGGGUUAAGUCCCGCAACGAGCGCAACCCUUGCCUUUAGUUGCCAGCAGUUCGGCUGGGCACUCUAAAGGGACUGCCGGUGUUAAACCGGAGGAAGGUGGGGAUGACGUCAAGUCCUCAUGGCCUUUAUGACCAGGGCUACACACGUACUACAAUGGCCGAUACAAAGGGCAGCGACACUGCGAGGUGAAGCCAAUCCCGUAAAAUCGGUCUCAGUCCGGAUUGGAGUCUGCAACUCGACUCCAUGAAGUUGGAAUCGCUAGUAAUCGUGGAUCAGCAUGCCACGGUGAAUACGUUCCCGGGCCUU